CCUACGGGUGGCAGCAGUGAGGAAUAUUGGUCAAUGGCCGAGAGGCUGAACCAGCCAAGUCGCGUGAGGGAAGACGGCCCUACGGGUUGUAAACCUCUUUUGUCGGGGAGCAAAGCGAGUCACGUGUGACUCAUUGAGAGUACCCGAAGAAAAAGCCUCGGCUAACUCCGUGCCAGCAGCCGCGGUAAUAAGGAGGAUGCGAGCGUUAUCCGGAUUUAUUGGGUUUAAAGGGUGCGCAGGCGGAGGUGCACGUCAGGGGUAAAAUUGCGGGGCUCAACCCCGUACUGCCGUUGACACUGCAUCCCUAGAGUGUGCGAGAAGUAUGCGGAAUGCGUGGUGUAGCGGUGAAAUGCAUAGAGAUCACGCAGAACUCCGAUUGCGAAGGCAGCAUACCGGCGCGCAACUGACGCUCAUGCACGAAAGCGUGGGUAUCGAACAGGAUUAGAUACCCCUGUAGUC
Molecule: ribosomal RNA, 459 nt
Filed under: uncultured bacterium
Lineage: Bacteria
Description: partial 16S ribosomal RNA
Rfam family: Bacterial small subunit ribosomal RNA
Source: RNAcentral